GACGAACGCUGGCGGCGUGCUUAACACAUGCAAGUCGAACGGAAAGGCCCUGCUUUUGUGGGGUGCUCGAGUGGCGAACGGGUGAGUAACACGUGAGUAACCUGCCCUUGACUUUGGGAUAACUUCAGGAAACUGGGGCUAAUACCGGAUAGGAGCUCCUGCUGCAUGGUGUGGGUUGGAAAGUUUCGGCGGUUGGGGAUGGACUCGCGGCUUAUCAGCUUGUUGGUGGGGUAGUGGCUUACCAAGGCUUUGACGGGUAGCCGGCCUGAGAGGGUGACCGGCCACAUUGGGACUGAGAUACGGCCCAGACUCCUACGGGAGGCAACAGUGGGGAAUAUUGCACAAUGGGCGGAAGCCUGAUGCAGCAACGCCGCGUGCGGGAUGACGGCCUUCGGGUUGUAAACCGCUUUCGCCUGUGACGAAGCGUGAGUGACGGUAAUGGGUAAAGAAGCAGCGGCUAACUACGU
This 467-nucleotide ribosomal RNA is filed under the name uncultured bacterium. RNAcentral's name for it is "partial 16S ribosomal RNA". It matches the Rfam family "Bacterial small subunit ribosomal RNA", at positions 28 to 506 of the family's 1533-position model. The record is from RNAcentral.